GACGAACGCUGGCGGCGUGCUUAACACAUGCAAGUCGAACGGAAAGGCCCUGCUUUUGUGGGGUGCUCGAGUGGCGAACGGGUGAGUAACACGUGAGUAACCUGCCCUUGACUUUGGGAUAACUUCAGGAAACUGGGGCUAAUACCGGAUAGGAGCUCCUGCUGCAUGGUGGGGGUUGGAAAGUUUCGGCGGUUGGGGAUGGACUCGCGGCUUAUCAGCUUGUUGGUGGGGUAGUGGCUUACCAAGACUUUGACGGGUAGCCGGCCUGAGAGGGUGACCGGCCACAUUGGGACUGAGAUACGGCCCAGACUCCUACGGGAGGCAGCAGUGGGGAAUAUUGCACAAUGGGCGGAAGCCUGAUGCAGCAACGCCGCGUGCGGGAUGACGGCCUUCGGGUUGUAAACCGCUUUCGCCUGUGACGAAGCGUGAGUGACGGUAAUGGGUAAAGAAGCACCGGCUAACUACGUGCCAGCAGCCGCGGUGAUACGUAGGGUGCGAGCGUUGUCCGGAUUUAUUGGGCGUAAAGGGCUCGUAGGUGGUUGAUCGCGUCGGAAGUGUAAUCUUGGGGCUUAACCCUGAGCGUGCUUUCGAUACGGGUUGACUUGAGGAAGGUAGGGGAGAAUGGAAUUCCUGGUGGAGCGGUGGAAUGCGCAGAUAUCAGGAGGAACACCAGUGGCGAAGGCGGUUCUCUGGGCCUUUCCUGACGCUGAGGAGCGAAAGCGUGGGGAGCGAACAGGCUUAGAUACCCUGGUAGUCCACGCUGUAAACGGUGGGUACUAGGUGUGGGGUCCAUUCCACGGGUUCCGUGCCGUAGCUAACGCUUUAAGUACCCCGCCUGGGGAGUACGGCCGCAAGGCUAAAACUCAAAGGAAUUGACGGGGCCCCGCACAAGCGGCGGAGCAUGCGGAUUAAUUCGAUGCAACGCGUAGAACCUUACCUGGGUUUGACAUGGAUCGGGAGCGCUCAGAGAUGGGUGUGCCUCUUUUGGGGUCGGUUCACAGGUGGUGCAUGGCUGUCGUCAGCUCGUGUCGUGAGAUGUUGGGUUAAGUCCCGCAACGAGCGCAACCCUUGUUCACUGUUGCCAGCACGUUAUGGUGGGGACUCAGUGGAGACCGCCGGGGUCAACUCGGAGGAAGGUGGGGAUGACGUCAAGUCAUCGUGCCCCUUAUGUCCAGGGCUUCACGCAUGCUACAAUGGCUGGUACAGAGAGUGGCGAGCCUGUGAGGGUGAGCGAAUCUCGGAAAGCCGGUCUCAGUUCGGAUUGGGGUCCGCAACUCGACCUCAUGAAGUCGGAGUCGCUAGUAAUCGCAGAUCAGCAACGCUGCGGUGAAUACGUUCCCGGG
This 1343-nucleotide ribosomal RNA is filed under the name uncultured bacterium. Its description in RNAcentral is "16S ribosomal RNA". It matches the Rfam family "Bacterial small subunit ribosomal RNA", at positions 28 to 1378 of the family's 1533-position model. The record is from RNAcentral.